RNAcentral lists this ribosomal RNA (460 nucleotides) under uncultured bacterium. Its description in RNAcentral is "partial 16S ribosomal RNA". It matches the Rfam family "Bacterial small subunit ribosomal RNA", at positions 338 to 795 of the family's 1533-position model. The record is from RNAcentral.
CCUACGGGGCGCAGCAGUGAGGAAUAUUGGUCAAUGGGCGCGAGCCUGAACCAGCCAAGUCGCGUGAGGGAGGAAGGCCCUACGGGUUGUAAACCUCUUUUGCCGGGGAGCAACGGGCGCAACGUGUCGCGUCACUGAGAGUACCCGGAGAAAAAGCACCGGCUAAUCCCGUGCCAGCAGCCGCGGUAAUACGGAGGAUGCGAGCGUUAUCCGGAUUUAUUGGGUUUAAGGGGUGCGUAGGCGGAGCGGUAAGUCAGUGGUAAAAUUGAGGGGCUCAACCCCUUCCCGCCAUUGAAAAUGGCGUUCUUGAGUGGAAGAGAAGUAUGCGGAAUGCGUGGUGUAGCGGUGAAAUGCAUAGAUAUCACGCAGAACCCCGAUUGCGAAGGCAGCAUGCCGGCUUCCGACUGACGCUGAGGCACGAAAGCGUGGGGAUCGAACAGGAUUAGAUACCCUUGUAGUC